CGGGGGGGCGAAGCGUUGUUCGGAAUUACUGGGCGUAAAGCGCGUGUAGGCGGCUCUUCAAGUCAGGCGUGAAAGCCCUGGGCUUAACCCAGGAACUGCGUUUGAUACUGUUGGGCUAGAGUGUGGAAGAGGCUACUGGAAUUCCGUGUGUAGCGGUGAAAUACGUAGAUAUACGGAGGAACACCUGCGGCGAAGGCGGGUAGCUGGGCCAACACUGACGCUGAGACGCGAAAGCUAGGGGAGCAAACGGGAUUAGAUACCCCGGUAGUCCUAGCCUUAAACGAUGCUGACUUGGUGUUCCUGGUUUUAAAUCCUGGAGUGCCGUAGCUAACGCGUUAAGUCAGCCGCCUGGGGAGUACGGUCGCAAGGCUG
Molecule: ribosomal RNA, 372 nt
Filed under: uncultured organism
Description: bacterial SSU rRNA
Rfam family: Bacterial small subunit ribosomal RNA
Source: RNAcentral